RNAcentral lists this ribosomal RNA (500 nucleotides) under uncultured bacterium. RNAcentral describes it as "partial 16S ribosomal RNA". It matches the Rfam family "Bacterial small subunit ribosomal RNA", at positions 30 to 523 of the family's 1533-position model. The record is from RNAcentral.
AUUGAACGCUGGCGGAAUGCUUUACACAUGCAAGUCGAACGGCAGCACGGACUUCGGUCUGGUGGCGAGUGGCGAACGGGUGAGUAAUGUAUCGGAACGUGCCCAGUCGUGGGGGAUGACGUAGGGAAAAUUACGCUAAUACCGCAUACGAUCUAUGGAUGAAAGCGGGGGAUCGCAAGACCUCGCGCGAUUAGAGCGGCCGAUAUCAGAUUAGGUAGUUGGCGGGGUAAAGGCCCACCAAGCCAACGAUCUGUAGCUGGUCUGAGAGGACGACCAGCCACACUGGAACUGAGACACGGUCCAGACUCCUACGGGAGGCAGCAGUGGGGAAUUUUGGACAAUGGGCGAAAGCCUGAUCCAGCCAUUCCGCGUGCAGGAUGAAGGCCCUCGGGUUGUAAACUGCUUUUGUACAGAACGAAAAGGUUUCUACUAAUACUAGGAGCUCAUGACGGUACUGUAAGAAUAAGCACCGGCUAACUACGUGCCAGCCGCCGCCGUAA